This is a long non-coding RNA of Phascolarctos cinereus (koala), 2012 nucleotides long. The record is from Ensembl. Lineage: Eukaryota; Metazoa; Chordata; Mammalia; Diprotodontia; Phascolarctidae.
UAAAGGCACAGAAACUCUAGGUGAAGCCAAUACUCAGCUUUCUCUCUUUCCACUCAGUCCUCUAAGCUUUAUGCUGCCACCAUUUGGAGCCAUUAUAUAACUGAUUAUUUGCAUUAUUAUAAAAAUCAUUUGACUAAAUAACUUCCUUACCACGAUUAUAUAACAAAAUUCUACAUAAUAAGGGAGCCUUAUGAGAUUAUAGAACUCAUAGACCUCUUUCUAGUUAGUGUUUCUGUUUUUUUUUUUCUGGGUGUAUUACUAGCAAACUUUUUUGGUGACCUGUUGCUUAGCAACUGGCAUCACUAGGAAGUGUUUGCACUCUAGUAAGACAUUCUAGUUAAGGAUCUCGGUGGUCACGUACCCUUUGCCACCAGAAGGAAAUUAAUUUUUAAUCAUGCAAAGAACUUGAAAAGCUGCCACUGAGAAGGGGCCAUCUGUGGCUAUGGCAGACUUUUUUUUUUUUGGCUCCAGAAAUAGUAUUGCCCUUUAGCCCACUGUCUUCUGAGCAGUUCAACAAGAUUAGACGUGCUGCUGAAAAAUCCUGGAAGAAUGAAACUCGAUGGUCGAUACAUAUCCAACAACAUAUGGGGCCCAUUUCCGGAGAAAAAAACUGGACGAACCCCCAAGUAUCCAACCGUUCUCUGAAACAAGAGUAAACAACCCUCAUCCACACGAAUUGUUUCUAGUAAACAACAUCCAUUAUCUUCCUGGAUAUUACAACUCUAAAACACCAGCGCCUGAAAAAAAUAAAGUUUCCUGUCCAGAGAUUACGACUUUCUUUAAAGAUUCAAUGAAUAUUAAGCGACGAGUGAUGCACCAAGUUGUGACUCUUGAUAUUUGCCUUCCUGCACGUGGGAAAAAUGUUGAUCACCGAGCAAAAUCGGCAGUAUAUAAUAGCCCAAAGAGCUCCAGUGCAAGAAGGAGGGCCUUUACAAGUCAAGCAGAGGUGAUCCGGAAAUGGUCCUCCAGCUUGGAGGGUAGCCGGAGCUCAGGGCAGAAGAACCAGGAAUAACCCCCAGACCUUGUGGGCACAAGGAAGGCCAUGUACCAAGAAGAAUGUCGGUCUUAUUAGCUCCACUUUAGCUUCAGUCCAUUAUAGAAUAUCUUACCACAGGGGAUGUUUCUGGGGAUUUGUUUCAAGAGCAAAUGACAUUUCCCCCUCCCUUAGAAGUAACUACACUUUUCUCUAGGACCCCAUCUCCACUGAAGAUUGAUCUAAACUAAAAAUCAUCUUUAGUCCUGGAAGGUAAUCAUAAUAAUGACAUUUAUGUACAGGGCAUUUUAAGAUUUUCAAAGCACUUUACGUGUUAUCUUAUUUGAUCCUCUUAUAAAUAGAACUUGAACCUGAAAGGGUAUCAUGUUCUUCUACAACUUUGCUCAUGGAUGCUCAAUUUCUAUUUGGGGAACUUCCAAUCUUACUUCCUUUGUCAACCUUAGGAAAUCCAUGUGCAACCAACAAUCUUGAGGACAGACAUUGUCCCAGUCCUUCCUUCCCUGCCUCCUGCCUCGUCCUGGGAGACUCUAUUUCUUGCCGCUUUGUGGUUUUCGUCCUGACAGAUAACAGCAUAGGAUGAGAUGCUGAGUGUAGUGGAAAGAAAACCGGCCUCAGAGUCACCUCCUCUCAAUUGGAAUCAUGGCUUGGAUUCUUACUAGCUGUAUGAACAUGACCAAGCCUCAUCUUACUCUGAUCAACUGCAGAUACUAAGAGUUGCACUAACCACCUCACAAGCCUUUGUGAGGAAAAUGCUUUGUAAACCUUAAAGCACUAUAUAUGCAGAUGGAUUUUUGUUAUUAUAAAAUGUAUAGAUAGAAAGGACAUUGGCAGGCUGGGCAGGUCUGGAGGAGGUGACCAACAUGGUGAAGGAGAUGACAGAUCUGCUGAAAGAGCUAAGGAUGUUCAGCCUGCAUAAGAGAUGUGCGUGAUUCAUGAACAGAUGUCUUCAAGGAUCUGAAAGGCUCUCAUGCAGGUGACCUGGGUAGCUAGGGUAGAUAGUGGAUAUUGAACCUGGAGU